UACGUAGGUGGCAAGCGUUGUCCGGAAUUAUUGGGCGUAACGCGCGCGCAGGUGGUUCCUUAAGUCUGAUGUGAAAGCCCACGGCUCAACCGUGGAGGGUCAUUGGAAACUGGGGAACUUGAGUGCAGAAGAGGAAAGUGGAAUUCCAAGUGUAGCGGUGAAAUGCGUAGAGAUUUGGAGGAACACCAGUGGCGAAGGCGACUUUCUGGUCUGUAACUGACACUGAGGCGCGAAAGCGUGGGGAGCAAACAGG
RNAcentral lists this ribosomal RNA (253 nucleotides) under uncultured bacterium. RNAcentral describes it as "partial 16S ribosomal RNA". It matches the Rfam family "Bacterial small subunit ribosomal RNA", at positions 524 to 776 of the family's 1533-position model. The record is from RNAcentral.